UGAUGAAGAUGAAGAGGCAGCAGCAACGGCAUAGCUAGACGGUGACAGGCCCUUGUGCAAUAUUAAUUUACCAGGCCCUUUGAUAUAAAGUGUCAACCGAGGCAUCACUAGCCCAAGUUACAGUUGCGGUUGUGAUGCAAUUUUGUCGUAUUUUCAAUGCACACAGAUGUCGGAGGGGUAUAAAAAGGAAGAUGCAAAAUGUACGAAACUGUUGCUGUGUGUACUUAUGACAAGUUGUGACUCAUCAGAUCAGACGAAGGGAUGGAAGACAACAAAGAAGAUUGCUAUACGUACCUAUCACAGAGUUAAGAGGGAACCUGCCCUGGGGUCCAAGUUGAAAGUAGUCAAUUCUAUGAAAUCCUCAGUGGCAGAUUCAGGAAUUUGAAGUAGAAAAGAAACACAGGGAGGAAUUUUACAAAUGGAGGGGCUAGAGCUGAGGAUUCUUGCCGACAUAUUUCCUGAAGCACAAUUUCUUUUAAACACGGUGGAUGGUAACUGAAAUAUGUGGAUCAAGCUCUCCGAGACGAAAGCAAGCAAUGACGCCUCAGCAGCACAAUUCUCUUGAUUUCUUUGACAUGCAAUUCCAUAGUGAAACGCCCGCUUUGAUUCCAGAAGAAAACAAGCAUUAAGGAAGUACAAGAAAAAAGCAAUUAAAUCUACCGAAAGAUAGUGCCAUUCUGUGCUGUGGCUUCACACCCCAUUGGUUGAUGUAUACUCCCUUAGUUUACUGCCAUUCCAUGCUGUGGUUUUACCCACUUGAUGACUGACUGAUGUAGGGUACAAUGAUAUAGACAGGGCAAUGCUUGCUUUAUAACCCAUGUUUAGAGCUUGUUAUUCACUGCCCCCAACAAUCGUCAGUUUAUGCGAUUCUACGGAGAACUGAACGCCACGACGUGCACGCAAGCGAUUGUUUUUAAUGACAAUCCGUUCAAACUGCCAACGACAAUCAGCAAGCGACGGCAUCGCUUCUUCUAGCCAUCCACAGAGAGUGGAGUUGGAUUCAUCGGCCGAUGGUCUUACAACUGCCGUAUGACACAUCAAGUUUUAUAGGUAGCCAAUACCAUCAAGAUGUGUACAAAAUCCAGAGCACCAACAUUCAGUGGACCUUUCUCAUUGGUCAGUUUGAUUGACACCCUGGAAAGGCCCAUUAUCACUGUCUUAAGUAACCUAUCAAGUAAAAUGAUAAAACAUGGGAUUUAUAUAUGCACAGUUGUAUAUUGUUCAGUAAAAUGCAAGACAUGUAACAGUAAUAUGACAAAUUGUAUUUAUUUAGAUACGCUGUAUUGGAUGUAUGUGAUUUGGGGUUUUGUUUGUACUGUUGCUGAUAAUAGUGAUGAUGAUGGUGGUGGUUAUGGUGGUGUUGAUUACAUUAUUUUAUUUUUCGGUUCUUUCAUUUGUAUUUAUUUAGAUUUUAAAAAAAGAAUACCACACAGCCUGAUACACAGAUACAAAACUCAGUGAGCUGGAGGGGCAGAGCUUUCAAAUUGAAGUUAGCUGCUUAAUAAUAAGAAGUAAACACACUAUUCUAUUGGUAAAAAAAAAACUUUUCCUACCGACCUACCCUUUUUUUGGAUUUACCCAAAAUGUGGCCCCAGCACAGGAAUUUUUGUUUGGCCUAUUGGUAGUGGUGGUGAUUAUGAAAGGUGCUGGUGUCUGUUGCUAGGAUGAUGUUGAUGUUAUCCAGUACUAUAGUCUCCUUAACCAGGUUCUUAUACAGGGCUCCCUCUAUUUAAAGUUCAACUCUAAUUCUGUGGUCCCUAAUUAGCAAAUGUCUGUUACAGUAUCUUUAUUAUUAUCUAUAUUAUUGGAGACCAAAGCUGCUGAAGACAGUGGCAACCUUGAUCCCAACAAUGGUCUUUAAGUGGAAAUAUUCUUAUAUAAGUCUCCCUCUAAUUAAAGACCACCUCCAAUUAAAAACCACUUUUCUGUGAUCCCAAAUUAACAAAUGACCGUUACAGUAUUUUUAUUUUUCUAAUUAGAGACAAAAGUUGCUAAACGCCAUGGAAACCCCGGUCCCAAAAGUGGUCUUUAAUUGGAGGGAGACCUGACAUUCAUUAUUGUGUUGCACACUAAUUGCCCACUCCAUUUUUUAAAUACAUCAUUUAUUUCUGUUUUUAAAAAAUAAUUUAAAUGAUUAUAUAAUCCAGAAAAUGUUCUUAGUGUUAUUAACAAGCAAAAACAUUUAUCAAAAUGUUUUUAUAUAGUUUGUUUAUGUUUACGUUUGUUAUCCAUAUAUAAUAUAAACAUCCUUAAAUUUAUAUUGCAUAAUUGGCUGUAUCAGCAUUAUUCAAUUUUAAUUCCUGCAUAUCAAGUUUAUUUCUAUUUAUCAUUACACAAAGGUCAAUAAAAUUAUUUGUUAAGCCCUUUCCAGCCUGCAUGUGACAUAUCUAUAUAUGGUAAUGAUGACAUCACAUCAUGACCAUAAUAGGCACAUCAUGACUAUAUAUGGGCAUACAACAGUUUUUUGUUGUACUUCAAAAGUUGUCUGUGUUUAUACAGUGUAGCACAUAUAUGCAUUUAUAAAUGCAAGCAUUAUAUUAAGCAAUGCCCAAUAAUUUAUUAUACAAUUUUGUAAACAGUAAAUCAUCUAAAUAUGUUUUGUGUCAAAGGUUAUUACAUAGGUGUAGCAUUACAAUUAUAUCGAAGGAAAUAUAACAUGUAAUAUAAAAUUAUUUAUUAAUAUGUAACAUGAUAAUGGUAUAUUAUGUGAUAUUUAGUUAUUUAUUAUAUCUUUAUUAGAUAAGCAUUAAUUAUUAUUGUUUUAUAUUGUAUU
Molecule: long non-coding RNA, 2773 nt
Organism: Anneissia japonica
Lineage: Eukaryota; Metazoa; Echinodermata; Crinoidea; Comatulida; Comatulidae
Exons: 3
Source: RefSeq, a predicted model, not a curated record